This 575-nucleotide ribosomal RNA is filed under the name Nitratidesulfovibrio vulgaris. RNAcentral's name for it is "bacterial SSU rRNA". It matches the Rfam family "Bacterial small subunit ribosomal RNA", at positions 190 to 762 of the family's 1533-position model. Lineage: Bacteria; Pseudomonadati; Thermodesulfobacteriota; Desulfovibrionia; Desulfovibrionales; Desulfovibrionaceae. The record is from RNAcentral.
AUGGCCUCUGCUUGCAAGCUACUGCUCAUGGAUGAGUCCGCGUCCCAUUAGCUAGUUGGUGGGGUAACGGCCCACCAAGGCGACGAUGGGUAGCCGGUCUGAGAGGAUGACCGGCCACACUGGGACUGGAACACGGCCCAGACUCCUACGGGAGGCAGCAGUGGGGAAUAUUGCGCAAUGGGCGAAAGCCUGACGCAGCGACGCCGCGUGAGGGAUGAAGGUCCUCGGAUCGUAAACCUCUGUCAGGAGGGAAGAACCGCCUCGGUGUUAAUCAGCCGUGGUCUGACGGUACCUCCAAAGGAAGCACCGGCUAACUCCGUGCCAGCAGCCGCGGUAAUACGGAGGGUGCGAGCGUUAAUCGGAAUCACUGGGCGUAAAGCGCACGUAGGCUGCUUGGUAAGUCAGGGGUGAAAGCCCGCGGCUCAACCGCGGAAUUGCCUCUGAUACUGCCGAGCUAGAGUCCGGGAGAGGGUAGUGGAAUUCCAGGUGUAGGAGUGAAAUCCGUAGAGAUCUGGAGGAACAUCAGUGGCGAAGGCGACUACCUGGACCGGUACUGACGCUGAGGUGGAAAGCGG